RNAcentral lists this small nucleolar RNA (111 nucleotides) under Echinops telfairi (small Madagascar hedgehog). RNAcentral describes it as "Small nucleolar RNA SNORA33 (ENSETEG00000026041.1)". Lineage: Eukaryota; Metazoa; Chordata; Mammalia; Afrosoricida; Tenrecidae. The record is from RNAcentral.
AAACCAUCCAUUGAUUCUCCUUACCUGAACGCAUUCCUGAAGCAAUUUAGAAAAAGCUGGCAAUAGUAAAGAUAAGUGAGAAAAUUAAGGUCCCUGAGAGUGGCAACAGUU